Molecule: ribosomal RNA, 425 nt
Filed under: uncultured Pseudomonadota bacterium
Lineage: Bacteria; Pseudomonadati; Pseudomonadota
Description: bacterial SSU rRNA
Rfam family: Bacterial small subunit ribosomal RNA
Source: RNAcentral
GGGGAAUAUUGGACAAUGGGCGCAAGCCUGAUCCAGCCAUGCCGCGUGGGUGGAGAAGGCCUUCGGGUUGUAAAGCCCUUUUGUUGGGAAAGAAAAGCAGCCGGCCAAUACCCGGUUGUUCUGACGGUACCCAAUGAAUAAGCACCGGCCAACUUCGUGCCAGCAGCCGCGGUAAUACGAAGGGUGCAAGCGUUACUCGGAAUUACUGGGCGUAAAGCGUGCGUAGGCUGUUUGGUAAGUCAGGGGUGAAACACGCGGCUCAACCGCGGAAUUGCCCUUGAUACUGCUGGACGUGAGUUCGGGAGAGGGUGGCGGAAUUCCAGGUGUAGGAGUGAAAUCCGUAGAUAUCUGGAGGAACAUCAGUGGCGAAGGCGGCCACCUGGACCGAUACUGACGCUGAGGUGCGAAAGCGUGGGGAGCAAACA